GAUGAAGAACUUAGCGAAAUGCGAUAAGUAAUGUGAAUUGCAGAAUUCAGUGAAUCAUCGAAUCUUUGAACGCACCUUGCGCCCUUUGGCUAUUCCGAAGGGCAUGCCUGUUUGAGUAUCAUGAACACCUCAACUCUCAUGGUUUGCCAUGAUGAGCUUGGACUCUGGGGGUCUUGCUGGCCUAUGGUCAGCUCCUCUCAAAUAAAUCAGCUUGCCAGUGUUUGGUGGCAUCACAGGUGUGAUAACUAUCUACGCUUGUGGUUUUCCAUCAGGUAACCUUCAGUGAUGGAGGUUCGCUGGAGCUCAUAAAUGUCCCUCCUCAGCGAGGACAGCUUUUUGAACGUUUGAUCUCAAAUCAGGUAGGACUACCCGCUGAACUUAAGCAUAUCAAUAAGCGGAGGA
RNAcentral lists this unclassified non-coding RNA (402 nucleotides) under soil metagenome. RNAcentral describes it as "partial contains 5.8S ribosomal RNA, internal transcribed spacer 2, and large subunit ribosomal RNA". The stretch from base 1 to 121 matches the Rfam family "5.8S ribosomal RNA", at positions 35 to 154 of the family's 154-position model. The record is from RNAcentral.